RNAcentral lists this ribosomal RNA (850 nucleotides) under uncultured bacterium. Its description in RNAcentral is "bacterial SSU rRNA". It matches the Rfam family "Bacterial small subunit ribosomal RNA", at positions 8 to 856 of the family's 1533-position model. The record is from RNAcentral.
AGAGUUUGAUCCUGGCUCAGGAUGAACGCUGGCGGCGUGCCUAAUACAUGCAAGUCGAACGAAUCUCUUUUAGAGAUGAGUGGCGAACGGGUGAGUAAUACAUAGGUAACCUGCCCCUGUGCGGGGGAUAACAGGAGGAAACUCCUGCUAAUACCGCAUAGCCAUGAGCACCGCAUGGAGCUCAUGCCAAAUAUCCUUUCGGGGAUAGCACAGGGAUGGACCUAUGGCGCAUUAGCUUGUUGGCGGGGCAACGGCCCACCAAGGCAACGAUGCGUAGCCGGCCUGAGAGGGCGGACGGCCACAUUGGGACUGAGACACGGCCCAGACUCCUACGGGAGGCAGCAGUAGGGAAUUUUCGGCAAUGGGGGAAACCCUGACCGAGCAACGCCGCGUGAGCGAAGAAGGCCUUCGGGUCGUAAAGCUCUGUUGUAAAGGAAGAACGGCGCAUACAGGAAAUGGUAUGCGAGUGACGGUACUUUACCAGAAAGCCACGGCUAACUACGUGCCAGCAGCCGCGGUAAUACGUAGGUGGCGAGCGUUAUCCGGAAUCAUUGGGCGUAAAGAGGGAGCAGGCGGCCGCAAGGGUCUGUGGUGAAAGACCGAAGCUAAACUUCGGUAAGCCAUGGAAACCGGGCGGCUAGAGUGCGGAAGAGGAUCGUGGAAUUCCAUGUGUAGCGGUGAAAUGCGUAGAUAUAUGGAGGAACACCAGUGGCGAAGGCGACGGUCUGGGCCGCAACUGACGCUCAUUCCCGAAAGCGUGGGGAGCAAAUAGGAUUAGAUACCCUAGUAGUCCACGCCGUAAACGAUGGUCACUAAGUGUCGGGGGUCAAACCCCGGUGCUGCAGUCAAC